AACGAACGUUAGCGGUGUGGAUUAGGCAUGCAAGUCGCGCGCGAAAACCUUCGGGUGAGUAAAGCGGCGAAAGGGUGAGUAACACGUAACCAACCUACCCCCCAGAUCGGGAUAACCGUGGGAAACUGCGGGUAAAACCGAAUGGUCCCUUCGGGAGGCAUCUCCUGAUGAGUAAAUGGCGGCUUCGGCCGCCGCUGGGGGAGGGGGUUGCGGCCUAUCAGCUUGUUGGUGAGGUAACGGCUCACCAAGGCGAUGACGGGUAGCCGGUCUGAGAGGAUGGUCGGUCACACUGGGACUGAGACACUGCCCAGACUCCUACGGGAGGCUGCAGUCGAGAAUCUUCCGCAAUGGGCGAAAGCCUGACGGAGCGACACCGCGUGCAGGAUGAAGGCCUUAGGGUUGUAAACUGCUGUCACGCUAUAGGAAUGGCGCGCCGUUAAUAUCUGCGCGU
This 451-nucleotide ribosomal RNA is filed under the name uncultured Lentisphaerota bacterium. RNAcentral describes it as "bacterial SSU rRNA". It matches the Rfam family "Bacterial small subunit ribosomal RNA", at positions 29 to 470 of the family's 1533-position model. Lineage: Bacteria; Pseudomonadati; Lentisphaerota. The record is from RNAcentral.